AUGCCUCAAACAAUGCAUUAACGAUAAAUUAUAGCUUGGUCUGCCUUUGGAGACUCCCCAUUGGCUGUUGCUUUGGAAUAAUAAAGAACAUAGUUCCGGUGCCGUUUUUGCGAUGUUUUUGUUGGUCCUUUAUUUAUAUAUUUGUGUUUUCGAGUCCGUUUUGGGCAGAAAUGUGUAUAAUAAACCAUUCUCAAUAAUAACUCUUAACUUUAAACAUUAGUGUAAUUUCGGUAGUGUUACCGUCGAUAUAAAUGCUCUGCGCUCUCACGGGUAUAAAUAGCAGGCGGCGCAUCUGUUAUAUUUGUCUCGCGUGGAGCUUCCAGGGGUGGUGUGGGGCUGGUUGGCGGCUCUGCGCGAGACGGCCGAGCGUGAAGCUUCUCUUGGCUGGUUGGUUGUUUGAGAGGCUUCGCGCUCGGUUUUUAUUUACAAGCAUAGUUUAGAUUGCGAGGGGGGUCGUGGCAAGACUUUUUUUCGGUGUUUAAAAUUCUCGCCUCUGAUACCGCCACCUGCCGGCGACAUGAUGUAACAAGUCAACUGCUAAUUGGAAGAACUCACACGGACUUAGCAACUUCAGGGAUCAUAGCUGGACUUCUGAUUAGACAAUGGACCGCUUUUCAAUUGAUGCUGACAAAAAGCCUCCACCUGAUACUGAGGGAAAAUCUGAGGGAAAUAUGACCAAAAGCAGACAAUAUGACGAUAAGUACCUGGAAUAGCUUUCCCGGAGCUCAUUGCUAAGAGCACUUGGUCAACAACGCAAAGUCGUGGGUUCGAUCCCAGGGGACUGCACAUAUCUAUGUAUAAAUGUAUAGGACAUUGCAAUGUAAGUCGCUUUGGAUAAAUAUGUAAAUGUAAUAUGGCUUCUCUCAGACCAGCGAUCGGGAGGAUUAACGACCACAUUGUGUGCGGUGAGGUGUUAGCAAAGGAGAGUCUCAAACCUUUCAAAAUGCUAAGACUUUCUUCCUACCCUGCGCUAAAAACACUGUUUCUCUGUUAUGUGUUGACAAAGCGUUGCUGAUCCAUAAGCAUUGAAGCAUUACAUUGUACUUUAAAAUACGAUCUUAUCUAAAUAUUAAUAUAAUUAUGGGAUGGGUUUCGCAAAACGUUGUCGUUCAUAAAAGGGGGUCGCACUUGAAAAUAGGUUAAGAACUACUGGUAUAGAUGAAUUUCAAACAUUAAGACACACGAGGCUGUCGUGUUUGAAGAGCUUUUGUUAGACGAGAUGCGGGCCAGAGUUUUCUGAAACCAGACUGGGCGCACGUGUCAUUAAAUGUGAGAUUGAUAAAAUGUGUUUUGAGUGAUUUUCAGGACUGUCAGACCACCCUGUCUCUCUUUCUGUCACUUUGACCGUGUGUCAGUCUGACGGGUCUGUGGGCUGUUGCUGUGGCGUGGUUCCUCGUUCGCUGAUAAGAAUACUGAUGGCUUCUAUGGCUUGGACUGUGUACCGAGAGUUCAGAUGGGCCUCAAGUCCUGAGAGGGACAGCAGCACAACACAACACAAACACGACUUUUCUCUGGUGUCCGAUGGCGUGUUGAUCUCAUUUUUUUUCUGUUUACCUUUUUCAUGGGAUGGAGGUUCUGAAAUGCCUCUAUAAGACCCAUAGUUACAGCACACAUUUACUGUCAACACUUCAGCAUCUGCAAAACUACAGAUGAGGAACAGUUGCCCUGCCAUCACCAUGACAACAACCUUCACCAUAGAGACUACAACUUGUGUCUGACGAUCCUCUGCAGCAGCGAGCAAUGUUUUAGGCGUGUUCACGAGGCAUCCGCAAGAUUUCUUUAGAAUGCCUUCCCCACAAGAAGGUGCAGACAAAGUUCUGAAAUGUGUGCAAGAACUGUAGUCCGCAGCAUUCGUAUAUCCAACACCCAGGAGACAAACUGAGCUUCAUGUCAGCGUCCUGUACCUGCCUGGAGUUUGCGGCGUCACAUCUCACAGCAGUCGUACUGAGAAGUUGCUAAAGAGGAGGCUUUUACGUACUCUGGCUGGACGUUCUUAAAAUCUGCCUGAUCAAAACUAUCAUAGAGCUCCAACAUCAUCAACAUCAUGGAGGUUUUAUUCCUUAAACACUUGU
Triplophysa dalaica is the source of this 2072-nucleotide long non-coding RNA. RefSeq lists it as uncharacterized. Lineage: Eukaryota; Metazoa; Chordata; Actinopteri; Cypriniformes; Nemacheilidae. The record is from RefSeq and is a predicted model, not a curated record. The transcript is spliced from 5 exons.